Long non-coding RNA from Melanotaenia boesemani (Boeseman's rainbowfish), 3508 nucleotides. RefSeq lists it as uncharacterized. The record is from RefSeq and is a predicted model, not a curated record. The transcript is spliced from 2 exons. Lineage: Eukaryota; Metazoa; Chordata; Actinopteri; Atheriniformes; Melanotaeniidae.
UCUGGGCUGAGUUGUUCGGUACUUGCUGUGUCUCCCGAGUGAUUUAUCAGGUUUGAAGGGAGGAGAGACGGAGAGGGGGGAAACAACAUCAGUAGCAGGCAGGCAGCAGUUACCAGCCAGCUGGCUGGGUGUGUUAACUCCACAUCUGACCUCUAUGGGAACAGAGCAGCGUACUCUCCUUUCCUCUCUUCUCCCGGCAGACUGUGGGAACAAGGGGACAGAGCCUCACUCCCACCCCCCACCCCUCUUUCUGCUUCUUGUUGGGCUAUCGAGCUCAGGGAACCGGCCAUGGACAGAGCAGGAUAUGACAGGACAGCUUUGGCAGCGAGACCUCAGCGGGAGACCCGGGCUCUGAGGAUUGCACUGCAGAAUGAUUCUUGGACACAGCUGGCUCAGUCAGGCAGUCAUACUUUUUUCUUUUUUUUUCUUUUGUCAGUUAUUAGCCAGUCAGGUGGUUAGCUAGUCAGCCAGUAAAUCGGUCACUGGGAUCUUUCCCAAAAAAGUAACUCUUCCACUUUGUGUAUAUCCUCAAUUGAACUCUGAGGUAACUCAGGCGUAACCAUUUAGCACGGGAGGACCUGUGGGCACGGUCACAGGUGUUGCACAGCUGCUGCAGAAGAAAAAAGGCAUAUGGAGACCAGAAGGAUUCAGAGGCAAGGGAAGGGCAGAGAGGUGCAGAGGGGUUCAGCCUCUUCCCUGGCUGUGAUGGGGAGGGUUCCUGGCACCGUGAUUUGAUGCACAGAGAGAAACAAAAAUCACAUUGCCAGGGAUUUCCACUCCUUCACAGCUCAGCAGGUGACCUAUGCUGUCCUUAAAUUUCCACUGUGGGAUGCAUCUUUUGGGCUCUGGAUGUUACUGUAGAAUCAAAGAUCAGACAGAAACUCUCAGCAGAUUUCAAAAGAUUAACUUGUGAAAUCAAAAGCUCACAUGAAAAUCUAUGAAAGAAUGCUUCUGCCUUUAAAAAUGUCUAAAUGCUUUGAGUGCUGAAGUUAGGGUGCAGCUUUCUGAAGUUCAGACUGUCUUCACUCCUCUCUAAUAUCCCAGAAAUGUACGAGUCACACAGCUUAACAUGAUAAAAAUCUCCUUUUUGGAGGCAGAGCUUGUUUCAGCUUCCAGAUCUGAAAUAUCUCAACAAGGAAAUAAUUCAGAUAUGAAAUGAAAACUUGAAUCCUCCACAGGCAUGACCCUUUUAGAGAAAUAAGCUCUAGAGCCCACCAACUUUACCAGUGAGCAGUCACGUAAAGGUCUGCAUGAGUUUCUGCUCCCUCAAAAGCCAGCCACCCAUUUGCUAAAGGCACAGAGCUUAGCUAAUUGGUGAGCAUUGAUCCCUGCUAUAUGUUGUUCACAGUGGCUAAGUUCAGUGCCUGAGGUGAAAUAGUUUAUUCGACGUUGGGGAUUUGUUCCGGUGAAUGGACAGCACUUGAUGAUCCUGGAUAUGAAAAAAGAAGGAGGGAGGAGGAGAGGAAAAGAGUGACAAAAGCUUAGGCGGAAACAGAGGAAGGUGGAAAGGCUGGGAUUGUGGCUCUCUGUGUUUUCUGUGGACCAAAAGCAGGCUUUGGCUAUGCAGUGCAGUUCAGACUUGAGACAAGCUGAACUAUUUAGUUGUAUUUCCCUGAAGCAAAAACUGUCUCAGCCCAUGCACCUAGCAAAAAUCACCAUGCAUACCAAAUGUAUUUGACAACCUUUGUUGCAGCUUUAAUGUGGACUGAAAAAUGUCACUGAUUUUAUUGCAUUUUUAGGAAUGUGGUGCUAAAUGUCAGACCCGUCUGCGCUUGCAGGUUUCGUCAGGACUGCUUUGCCAUUAAUUUAGGGUCAAAAGAAAGUCAAACUUCCUGCAAAUAAAUCCCUCCCCAAACCUAUCAAGGCUUUUAUCUAAAAUAAUGUAAGUGUUUUUAUAGUUUUUUCACAACCAAAAAUUUAUCCAGCAGGUAAAGAGGAACCAGGAUGGUAAUUCUAUGCCUCACUGGGUUCCUUCAAAAACAAUAUAGUUUAAUUUGCAGUUCUAAAAAUGGUUAUCUUAAACUAGUAUGUGGUUUGAAACAAUUUUAGCUCCUGUUUCCUCCCCAUAGGCUGUACACCUGCUGAGGAGUAGCACCCAUGCGUAUGAGUUGUGUAUGCAGAUGGUGGGCCUAUUUAUUACAACAAAUAGAAAAUAAAUAAACAAAUAAAGAAAAAUGUAUAAACCUAAAAUAUAUCAGAUUCUGGCACUGAGAGAUAAUUUUUUCCAUAAAAUUAAGCAAAAUUUGUUAUCUCAUCUGACAGUAAACAGUAGAAAAAAUGUUAUAAUUAAAUAUUCUUUUGCCUUCUUGGGCCUAUUUAUUUAAUAAAAUCUACCACUGUUGUUUUAGCAUAUUUGGGCACAUUUUAGCAGUUGAUUCAGUAAAGAUUUCUGAAACUAUUUACCUGUUUGAUGUCUUUUCACUACAUUCUGAACACUGUAUUCUUCUUAUUAGAUUAGAUUAGAAGCUUGUACCUAGAAAAUGAUUUCUGGGCUGUGCCCUCCCGUGCCUACUGAACUGGUAUCAGUGUUUUACCUAAAAACUGGCUCAGUUCAGCAGGAACAGGAGUGGAGCCCACUGACUGGGGAGAUACGUCCUGCAUGACAGCAUCAAUCUACAGUGAACAUACCCCAACACAGCAUAGAUUCAGUGUUUCAGCCGACGUGUUAAUCUGAGCACUGUUUCCUCAUAGCUGCUUGGGACACUUGAUUUGAGUCAAUGCCCUUGGUGAAAAUUAAACCUGAGCUCUCCAACUUGUCAUGUAUAUGCAUAUAUGUCAUAUUUAUAUGACAGUGAGUUGUCGUUUGAAUACUGUUGCAUACUAAUGCAGCCUUCUAGUGGUUCUGCUCUGGCCUCGCGUUUAUUUCUGCAAACACCUCUCUCAGUCUUCGUCUGUCUCCCUCUGACUGGAGUUCAAUGUGAGGUAAUCCCACUGAAAUGUCGGCUAUGCCUGUGUAAUUGAUUUUACCCGGCAGUUCCCGUUUACAUUGAUUGGGAAUGUGUGCAAAGCUACUUCCUCACCACUCAGAUUACUCACAGCCAACAAAGGAAGCGUACUCUGUGGUACAUUUUAUUUCCAAAGGAGAGCAAGAAGCUCAUCAUGAGACAUGAUGAAUCUACUUUUAUCCAUCACCACCACUGAUAAUGACAGGCACCAUAAAAUGUAUUCCUGUUUCAUUGAAUUUAAGGAGAUAAAUGCUCCAUUCAAAGCUGGAGGAGAUUAUGCAGUGAAAGUACAGACUGUGGUACUAUGCUGAUUUCAGGGCAUUGUUCACACCAGGUGGUACCACCAAAAUGUUGAUUAUGAUAUGUAAAAGUGUUUAAUUACACAGAAUGUGGAAGAUAAGGAUGUAUUGUGUGUGUUAUUCUGAAUGUUAGCAUGCUUACAACUAUGUUUAACAAUUUGGGUUCUGAUUUGCUUCCUGUUUCAGGUGUAAUCAUCAUCUUUUUUAUUAUAGCACUAAUCUAAGUAAGAUUUAAAAUAAUAAAUAUUAAAUGAGCCUAGGUAA